UUAAAGCUAUCUAUGAAAACGUGAUUAGUCGAAAUUCAAAUAACCGACGAAACAAAUGUUAGAAAAUUAAAUAGUCUUGGGAUCAAUCAUUUCUGACUUAUCCGUUCGAUGUACGGAACGCCAAAUUACCCCCUAAAAAUUCAGCACCUCGGCUAGGGCCAUUUAUUUUUUUUUGCAGAAAAUAAUCACCAUCCACCCACGCCAUCUAGCGGCCACGGUACGCACCUUUUUGAAAUCCCCACUGGAGGAGGAGCUGAAUCACUAUCGAUCUCUACAACCAUUUCCAACAAUUAAUAUCGAUUUUAUCGUGCCAGAGCAGAUACAGGUGAAUAUCUCUGUGAUAAUAAAUUUGUUUUUGUUUUCUAAACGUUCAUCAAUUACUGGUUUUCAAUACUGUUUAUCUCGCUUGUUGCAAUAACAUACCAGUUUAUCUCGCGUUGAAAUGGAUGACGCUGUCUGGAGUGUUGCGUUAAUCUGGUCGAUUAAAACCACAUUAAGUGUCCUCAGUGUCGCAGAUUCACUCCGGUUAGUGCCGGGCCAAUCUCUGUGAAUGAUGAUCUCCAAACCGAUCACGAUUUGAUGGCCCUACUUCUCCAAACAAAAACAAAUUUAUUAUCACAGAGACAUUCACCUGUAUCUGCCACGGGCACGAUAAAAUCGAUAUUAAUUGUUGGAAAUGGUUAUAGGAAUCGAUAGUGAUUUAUCUCCUCCUCCAGCGGGUGGGAUUUCAAAACGGUGCAUACCGUGACUGCUAGAUGGCGUUGGUGGAUGAUGAUUAUUUUCUGCGAAAAAAAAUAAAUGGCCCUAGCCGAGGUGCUGAAUUUUUAGGGGGUAAUUUGGCGUUCCGUAUCGAUGUGCCGACAAGGAAAAUUUGCAUCACUAGAACAACAAUUUUGCAAAAAAGACGAUUUCGAAAGAAACUAAGAUAAACGUCAGCAGGAAUAGACAUAACCCAGUAACGUAAAGUAAUUUUUUUAAUUGAAUGCAGUUAAAAA
Long non-coding RNA from Daphnia magna, 995 nucleotides. RefSeq lists it as uncharacterized. NCBI's taxonomy places the organism in Eukaryota, Metazoa, Arthropoda, Branchiopoda, Diplostraca, Daphniidae. The record is from RefSeq and is a predicted model, not a curated record. The transcript has 2 exons.